AAGGAUAUUUAUUAAUUACAUGGGAAUUAUUUACUGCCUCAAAAAUCUUUGUGAACAUGCCGUUUAUUAAAACACGUGAACCAGAUGAAUUACAACUAAUCCCACUCCCUCAUUUUAUUCGUAAAAUUGCCUCUGGUUAAAGUGCAGUGGUGCAGCCGUGGUGCAGUAGCUUCAGAACUGAAGGUCUCUGGUUCGAAGCCAGCUCCAGCUAUAUUUGCACUAUUGUUAAGGAAGAAGAUGUGAACUUCCUGAUUAAAUAUUAUUCCGCGGUGUCCUGCGAUAAGACCGUUAGGAGAUCUUGGAGCACCUAAAUAACUAAUAAAAAAAUAAUAAGAGCUUAGCCAUCUUUAUAAUUUUAAAUGUUUUGUAAUGGACCGUUCCCUUAAUAGAAAAAAACCGCAAUGCAUUUUAGUCUUUGUAUUCACCGAAAAUAAACAAAUUAGAGUUAAAAUUUUUAAAAAUAAACAGUCAAGUAAUUGAUUUUAAAAGACUUUUCAAAAUGAUUUUAAAUGAUACAAUAUCUUAUGAUUAACUAAUAACUCAUUCUAUUAAAGAACAUAUUACUGUUGAGUCAACAACAACAACAAAAUACCGCGGUGGCAUAACUUGUUGUGUUCCAUUAUGCAACAGUAAUUCGCUCAAAAACAAAAACUUAUCAUUUUACAUCAUCCCAAAGGAAAGUAAUUUG
Non-coding RNA from Hydra vulgaris (swiftwater hydra), 688 nucleotides. NCBI's taxonomy places the organism in Eukaryota, Metazoa, Cnidaria, Hydrozoa, Anthoathecata, Hydridae. The record is from RefSeq and is a predicted model, not a curated record.